RNAcentral lists this ribosomal RNA (1351 nucleotides) under Salmonella enterica. Its description in RNAcentral is "partial 23S ribosomal RNA". It matches the Rfam family "Bacterial large subunit ribosomal RNA", at positions 1598 to 2925 of the family's 2925-position model. The record is from RNAcentral. Lineage: Bacteria; Pseudomonadati; Pseudomonadota; Gammaproteobacteria; Enterobacterales; Enterobacteriaceae.
UGCCCUGCUUCCAGGAAAAGCCUCUAAGCAUCAGGUAACACGAAAUCGUACCCCAAACCGACACAGGUGGUCAGGUAGAGAAUACCAAGGCGCUUGAGAGAAUUCGGGUGAAGGAACUAGGCAAAAUGGUGCCGUAACUUCGGGAGAAGGCACGCUGACACGUAGGUGAAGUGAUUUACUCAUGGAGCUGAAGUCAGUCGAAGAUACCAGCUGGCUGCAACUGUUUAUUAAAAACACAGCACUGUGCAAACACGAAAGUGGACGUAUACGGUGUGACGCCUGCCCGGUGCCGGAAGGUUAAUUGAUGGGGUCAGCGCAAGCGAAGCUCCUGAUCGAAGCCCCGGUAAACGGCGGCCGUAACUAUAACGGUCCUAAGGUAGCGAAAUUCCUUGUCGGGUAAGUUCCGACCUGCACGAAUGGCGUAAUGAUGGCCAGGCUGUCUCCACCCGAGACUCAGUGAAAUUGAACUCGCUGUGAAGAUGCAGUGUACCCGCGGCAAGACGGAAAGACCCCGUGAACCUUUACUAUAGCUUGACACUGAACAUUGAGCCUUGAUGUGUAGGAUAGGUGGGAGGCUUUGAAGUGUGGACGCCAGUCUGCAUGGAGCCGACCUUGAAAUACCACCCUUUAAUGUUUGAUGUUCUAACGUGGACCCGUAAUCCGGGUUGCGGACAGUGUCUGGUGGGUAGUUUGACUGGGGCGGUCUCCUCCUAAAGAGUAACGGAGGAGCACGAAGGUUGGCUAAUCCUGGUCGGACAUCAGGAGGUUAGUGCAAUGGCAUAAGCCAGCUUGACUGCGAGCGUGACGGCGCGAGCAGGUGCGAAAGCAGGUCAUAGUGAUCCGGUGGUUCUGAAUGGAAGGGCCAUCGCUCAACGGAUAAAAGGUACUCCGGGGAUAACAGGCUGAUACCGCCCAAGAGUUCAUAUCGACGGCGGUGUUUGGCACCUCGAUGUCGGCUCAUCACAUCCUGGGGCUGAAGUAGGUCCCAAGGGUAUGGCUGUUCGCCAUUUAAAGUGGUACGCGAGCUGGGUUUAGAACGUCGUGAGACAGUUCGGUCCCUAUCUGCCGUGGGCGCUGGAGAACUGAGGGGGGCUGCUCCUAGUACGAGAGGACCGGAGUGGACGCAUCACUGGUGUUCGGGUUGUCAUGCCAAUGGCACUGCCCGGUAGCUAAAUGCGGAAGAGAUAAGUGCUGAAAGCAUCUAAGCACGAAACUUGCCCCGAGAUGAGUUCUCCCUGAGACUUAGAGUCUCCUGAAGGAACGUUGAAGACGACGACGUUGAUAGGCCGGGUGUGUAAGCGCAGCGAUGCGUUGAGCUAACCGGUACUAAUGAACCGUGAGGCUUAACCUU